This 640-nucleotide ribosomal RNA is filed under the name Mesocoelium sp. ZCCK 060. RNAcentral describes it as "SSU rRNA". It matches the Rfam family "Eukaryotic small subunit ribosomal RNA", at positions 260 to 816 of the family's 1831-position model. RNAcentral also lists the same sequence under 3 other names. Lineage: Eukaryota; Metazoa; Platyhelminthes; Trematoda; Plagiorchiida; Brachycoeliidae. The record is from RNAcentral.
GAUCGCAGUCGGCCUUGUGUCGGCGACGGAUCUUUCAAAUGUCUGCCCUAUCAAUUUUCGAUGGUAGAUGAUCUGCCUACCAUGGUGAUAACGGGUAACGGGGAAUCAGGGUUCGAUUCCGGAGAGGGAGCCUGAGAAACGGCUACCACUUCCAAGGAAGGCAGCAGGCACGCAAAUUACCCAAUCCCGGCACGGGGAGGUAGUGACGAAAAAUACGGAUACGGGACUCGUAUGAGGCUCCGUAAUUCGAAUGAGUACACUUUAAAUCCUUUAACGAGGAUCAACUGGAGGGCAAGUCUGGUGCCAGCAGCCGCGGUAACUCCAGCUCCAGAAGCGUAUAUUAAAGUUGUUGCAGUUAAAAAGCUCGUAGUUGGAUCUGGGUCGUAUGGCUACGUGCCGUCGCUCGCAUUCUUGGUUUGGUUACGACUAGAUCAAGUUUGUGGGUCGGUGUCGUGGCUGUGCAGCCUUUCUGCCGUGUCUGUUUCGACAGGUGCCGGUCUAAUCGAUGGGUUUGUCCUGUCGGUUGGUUGGCAUGCUUCCAGAUGCCUUUGAACGGGUGUCGGGAGCGGACGGUGCGUUUACUUUGAACAAAUUUGAGUGCUCAAAGCAGGCCUGUGCCUGAAAAUUCUUGCAUGGAAUA